Molecule: long non-coding RNA, 2110 nt
Filed under: Sus scrofa (pig)
Lineage: Eukaryota; Metazoa; Chordata; Mammalia; Artiodactyla; Suidae
Description: lncRNA (ENSSSCG00005045914.1)
Source: RNAcentral
GCUUAACAACAUAUUUUUAAUAAACUUUUAAUUUUAUAAUAGUUUUUGACUUAUAGAAAAGUUGUAAAGAUAGUACAGAAAGUUCUCAUAUAUUCCAUACCCACUUUCUCCUGUUGUUGAUAUCUUAAAUUUGUGUGAUAGAUACACUUGCCAUAAUCAAAAAACAUUAUUAACCAAAGUCCACACUUUAUUCAGCUUUCCUUAGUUUUUACUUAAUGUUCCUUUUCUGACCCAGAAUCCCAUCUGGAUCCUAUAUUACAUGUAAUCCUCGUAUCUUCUUACAUUUCGCUUGGCUGUGAAAUUUUCUCAGACUUAAGGAAUCCUUGUUUUUGAUGACCUUGACAGUUUUGAGAAAUACCGUAGGUCAGGUAUUUUGUAGAAUGUUCCUCAGUUGGGAUUUGUCUGAUGUAUUUCUCAUCAUACUGGGGUUAUAUGUUUUUUGGAGAACAACUAUAGAGGUUUAGUGCCGUUUUCAUUGCAUCAUACCAACGAUGUUCUGUCAAGAUGACUUAUCACUGUUGGUGUUGAUCUUGAUCACUUGGCUGAGGUAGUGUUUGUCAGGUUUCUUUACUGUAAAGCUAUUCUUUCUUCCUUCCUUCCCAUACUACAGUCUUUGGAAGGUGGUCACUAUGUGCAGCCCACAAUUGAGGAAUGAGGAGUUACGCUUUACUUCCUGAAGGAUGGAGUUUCUACAUAAAUUAUUUGGAAUUCUUCUAUACAGGAGAUUUGUCUAUUCUCCUUGUCUAUUUAUUUAUUCAGUAAUUUACCUAGAUCAGUAUAGACUCAGGGAUUUUUAUUUUAUACUUUGGGUUAUUUUUAAAUAGUAUUUUAUUCCCAGGUUUUUUCUCUAUUGAGGGCUCUUACAGUUGUCUCCUGUGUCAAGUUUUUUAAGCCACAUCUAUGGCAUGUGGAAGUUCCCAGGCCGGGGAUCAAACCCGUACCAUAGCAGUGACCUGAGCCACAGUACUGACAAUGCCAGAUCCUUAACCUGCUGCACCACCAGGGAACUCCUCCUAUAGCAAUUUGAUUUACACCAUCACUGUGGGGUUUGUGAUCAGUUCAUUACUUUCUGACACCACGUAUGCUCACUGCUCCAGUCCUGGUAUCAGCUCUUUCACAGGGAGUUCUGAUUACUUUUAUUGGAGAAUGUUUUAGAACACAAAGCUCUGGGAGCUAGGUGUGCUCACUGCUGCUUGAGUAUCAUUGCUUAGAGGCCCUCUCAGCUGACACAGAAAGAAAAUCAUAUAUAUAUGAACUUGUAUAUAGGUACAACUGUAAAUAUUGUUACAUUUAGCCAUCCAUAUAUUAAACUAAGCUUGAAUUUAUUUUUAUGUCUCCUACUCUAAUCCAUUACCAGUGGACCAUUCUAGCCACCUCCCCUUCCCUGUCUGUAUCCUGCCACUCCAGCAUAAGAACCCCGUCUCCUGUUGUCAUCUAUUUACAUAAUUGCCCAAUUCCAGUAUACAUGUCUAGUGGCCUCAGAAUUAUGAACCUGUACUCCUAUUUGUAAUAUAGUUAGAUUCUUUUGUCACAGUCUGCAUUCCAUUCAUGGAUCCCUUAACCUCGUGCUUGGUUUUUUUUUAAACUUUGUAGGCAUUAAGGUUCAUUCUUUGUUCUCUAAAGUUAGGUUUGGACAAAUGAAUAUGAUCAUGUAGCCACCAUGACAGUAGCAUACUGAGUAGUUUUACCACUCUAAAAAAUCCCCUGGGCUUCACCUAUUCAGACCUCUCCUCACACAGAUGAAUCUUGGGUGGCUAUUGAUCUAUUUACCAUCUCUAUUUAAAUUUAACAUUUAAAAACAUUUUAAAAUUAAAAAUUAUUUUUUAAAAUAGUUGGGAGUUCCUGUUGUGGCUCAGCAGGUUUAAGAACAUGACUAGUAUUCAUGAGAAUGAGGGUUUGAUCCCUGGCCUCACUCCAUGGGUUAAAGAUACAGCAUUGCCUCAACCUCUGGUGUAAGUCCUAGAAGCCUCUCAGAUCCAGUGUUGCUGUUACUGUGACUGUGGUGUAGGCUGUCAGCUGUAGCUCCGAUUCAGCCCCUGGCCUGGAAACUUCUGUAUGCUGCGAGUGUGGCCCUAAAACCAAAAAAAAAAAAAAAAAAAAAAAAAAAAAU